RNAcentral lists this ribosomal RNA (253 nucleotides) under uncultured bacterium. RNAcentral's name for it is "partial 16S ribosomal RNA". It matches the Rfam family "Bacterial small subunit ribosomal RNA", at positions 524 to 776 of the family's 1533-position model. The record is from RNAcentral.
UACAGAGGUCUCAAGCGUUGUUCGGAUUUAUUGGGCGUAAAGGGUGCGUAGGCGGCGGGGCAAGUCAGGUGUGAAAUCUCGGGGCUCAACCCCGAAACUGCACUUGAUACUGCCUUGCUCGAGUACUGGAGAGGAGACUGGAAUUUACGGUGUAGCAGUGAAAUGCGUAGAUAUCGUAAGGAAGACCAGUGGCGAAGGCGAGUCUCUGGACAGUUACUGACGCUGAGGCACGAAGGCCAGGGGAGCAAACGGG